Molecule: ribosomal RNA, 253 nt
Filed under: uncultured bacterium
Lineage: Bacteria
Description: partial 16S ribosomal RNA
Rfam family: Bacterial small subunit ribosomal RNA
Source: RNAcentral
UACGGAGGGGGCUAGCGUUGUUCGGAAUUACUGGGCGUAAAGCGCACGUAGGCGGCUUUGCAAGUUAGAGGUGAAGGCCCGGGGCUCAACUCCGGAAUUGCCUUUAAAACUGCAUCGCUAGAAUUGUGGAGAGGUAAGUGGAAUUCCGAGUGUAGAGGUGAAAUUCGUAGAUAUUCGGAAGAACACCAGUGGCGAAGGCGACUUACUGGACACAUAUUGACGCUGAGGUGCGAAAGCGUGGGGAGCAAACAGG